GACGAACGCUGGCGGCGUGCCUAAUACAUGCAAGUCGAGCGAACAGAAGCAGCAGAAUUACUUCGGUAAGGACGCUGUGGAAGUUAGCGGCGGAUGGGUGAGUAACACGUGGGUAACCUACCCUUAAGACUGGGAUACCACUUGGAAACAGGUGCUAAUACCGGAUAGGAGUAUGAGCUGCAUGGCUUAUACUUUAAAGGCGGCGAAAGCUGUCACUAAAGGAUGGACCCGCGGUGCAUUAGCUAGUUGGUAAGGUAACGGCUUACCAAGGCGACGAUGCAUAGCCGAGUUGAGAGACUGAUCGGCCACAUUGGGACUGAGACACGGCCCAAACUCCUACGGGAGGCAGCAGUAGGGAAUCUUCCACAAUGGACGCAAGUCUGAUGGAGCAACGCCGCGUGAGUGAAGAAGGGUUUCGGCUCGUAAAGCUCUGUUGGUAGUGAAGAAAGAUAGAGGUAGUAACUGGCCUUUAUUUGACGGUAAUCAACCAGAAAGUCACGGCUAACUACGUGCCAGCAGCCGCGGUAAUACGUAGGUGGCAAGCGUUGUCCGGAUUUAUUGGGCGUAAAGCGAGCGCAGGCGGAUUGAUAAGUCUGAUGUGAAAGCCUUCGGCUCAACCGAAGAACUGCAUCAGAAACUGUCAAUCUUGAGUGCAGAAGAGGAGAGUGGAACUCCAUGUGUAGCGGUGGAAUGCGUAGAUAUAUGGAAGAACACCAGUGGCGAAGGCGGCUCUCUGGUCUGUAACUGACGCUGAGGCUCGAAAGCAUGGGUAGCGAACAGG
This 781-nucleotide ribosomal RNA is filed under the name uncultured Lactobacillus sp. RNAcentral describes it as "bacterial SSU rRNA". It matches the Rfam family "Bacterial small subunit ribosomal RNA", at positions 28 to 776 of the family's 1533-position model. The record is from RNAcentral. Lineage: Bacteria; Bacillati; Bacillota; Bacilli; Lactobacillales; Lactobacillaceae.